AACGAACGCUGGCGGCGUGCCUAACACAUGCAAGUCGAGCGGGAAAGUUCCCUUCGGGGAGCGAGUACAGCGGCGAACGGGUGAGUAACACGUAGGUAACCUACCCUGGAGACUGGGAUAACCUGCCGAAAGGCGGGCUAAUACCAGAUAAGACCACGAGGGCUGCGGCCCUUGAGGUAAAAGAUGGCCUAUGCUUGCAAGCUAUCACUCCGGGAUGGGCCUGCGCGCCAUUAGCUAGUUGGUGAGGUGACGGCUCACCAAGGCAGAGAUGGCUAGCUGGUCUGAGAGGAUGGCCAGCCACACUGGGACUGAGACACGGCCCAGACUCCUACGGGAGGCAGCAGUGGGGAAUAUUGCGCAAUGGGCGAAAGCCUGACGCAGCGACGCCGCGUGGGUGAUGAAGGCCU
RNAcentral lists this ribosomal RNA (407 nucleotides) under uncultured bacterium. RNAcentral describes it as "bacterial SSU rRNA". It matches the Rfam family "Bacterial small subunit ribosomal RNA", at positions 29 to 417 of the family's 1533-position model. The record is from RNAcentral.